This 497-nucleotide ribosomal RNA is filed under the name uncultured bacterium. Its description in RNAcentral is "partial 16S ribosomal RNA". It matches the Rfam family "Bacterial small subunit ribosomal RNA", at positions 28 to 507 of the family's 1533-position model. The record is from RNAcentral.
GAUGAACGCUGGCGGCGUGCCUAAUACAUGCGAGUCGAGCGAACAGACGAGGAGCUUGCUCCUCUGACGUUAGCGGCGGACGGGGGAGUAACAUGUGGAUAACCUACCUAUAAGACUGGGAUAACUUCGGGAAACCGGAGCUAAUACCGGAUAAUAUAUUGAACCGCAUGGUUCAAUAGUGAAAGACGGUUUUGCUGUCACUUAUAGAUGGAUCCGCGCCGCAUUAGCUAGUUGGUAAGGUAACGGCUUACCAAGGCAACGAUGCGUAGCCGACCUGAGAGGGUGAUCGGCCACACUGGAACUGAGACACGGUCCAGACUCCUACGGGAGGCAGCAGUAGGGAAUCUUCCGCAAUGGGCGAAAGCCUGACGGAGCAACGCCGCGUGAGUGAUGAAGGUCUUCGGAUCGUAAAACUCUGUUAUUAGGGAAGAACAAAUGUGUAAGUAACUAUGCACGUCUUGACGGUACCUAAUCAGAAAGCCACGGCUAACUACGUG